AGUGAACGCUGGCGGUAGGCCUAACACAUGCAAGUCGAACGGCAGCACAGUAAGAGCUUGCUCUUACGGGUGGCGAGUGGCGGACGGGUGAGGAAUACAUCGGAAUCUACUUUUUCGUGGGGGAUAACGUAGGGAAACUUACGCUAAUACCGCAUACGACCUACGGGUGAAAGCAGUGGAUCUUCGGACCUUGCUCGAUUGAAUGAGCCGAUGUCGGAUUAGCUAGUUGGCGGGGUAAAGGCCCACCAAGGCGACGAUCCGUAGCUGGUCUGAGAGGAUGAUCAGCCACACUGGAACUGAGACACGGUCCAGACUCCUACGGGAGGCAGCAGGGGGGAAUAUUGGACAAUGGGCGCAAGCCUGAUCCAGCAAUACCGCGUGGGUGAAGAAGGCCUUCGGGUUGUAAAGCCCUGUUGUUGGGAAAGAAAAGCAGCAGGUUAAUACCCCGCUGUUCUGACGGUACCCAAAGAAUAAGCACCGGCUAACUUCGUG
Molecule: ribosomal RNA, 492 nt
Filed under: uncultured bacterium
Lineage: Bacteria
Description: partial 16S ribosomal RNA
Rfam family: Bacterial small subunit ribosomal RNA
Source: RNAcentral